CAGAGGACCAUGUCCCAGUAGAUGAGGUCUGCAGCUCCAGUCUCUCACCCUAAUCCCCACCCACGGACACGCCAUCCAACCAGAGAGAAUGAGGGGACCACGUGGGGCUCACAGCCUCCCAGGACCGAGAGGCAGGUCCCCUGCAUGAAGCCCAGAGGAGCCUGCAGACACCGCAGUCCAGGAUGCCAGCCUCUGCGUCAGGUCCUGCCUUCAGGUUCCUGCCCUGCUUGAGUUCGCGUCUUGACUUUCCAUGAUGGUGAACUGUGAUAUUGAAGUGUAAGCUGAAUAAACUUUUUCCUCCCC
RNAcentral lists this long non-coding RNA (303 nucleotides) under Rattus norvegicus (Norway rat). RNAcentral's name for it is "long non-coding RNA NONRATT024696". The record is from RNAcentral. Lineage: Eukaryota; Metazoa; Chordata; Mammalia; Rodentia; Muridae.